GACACAAGUAGACUCCUGGAGACACUGAUCCGGGGAAGGCACCGCUGACUCUGGGGAAGUGGGGAAGGGAGUCCACUCAGGUGACAUAAGUGGACUCCUGGAGACACUGAUCCGGGGAAGGCACCGCCGACCUUAGGUAAGUGGGGAACGGAAGACAUCCGGAGCGAGCGGAUGGAUUCCUGGAUUCAUAAACUUGGGGAAGGUUGUGGUUGAGGCUGACCUUGUGUAAGUGGGGAAGGGGAGACAUCCGGGAGCGAGCGGAUGGAUUCCUGGAUACAUGAACCUGGGGAAGGCAUGAAUACGUGAAGUUGAGGCUGACCUUGUGUAAGUGGGGAAGGGAAGAUAUCCGGCGGUAGACGGAAGGAUUCCUGGAUACAUGAUCCUGGGGAAGGCAUGAAUACAUGCAGUUGAGGCUGACCUUGGGUAAGUGGGGAAGGGAAGAUAUCCGGCGGUAGACGGAAGGAUUCCUGGAUACAUGAACCUGGGGAAGGCAUGAAUACAUGCAGUUGAGGCUGACCUUGGGGAAGUGGGGAAGGGGAGACAUCCGGAGCGAGCGGAUGGAUUCCUGGAUACAUGAACCUGGGGAAGGCAUGAAUACAUGCAGUUGAGGCUGACCUUGUGUAAGUGGGGAAGGGGAGACAUCCGGCGGUAGACGGAUGGAUUCCUGGAUACAUGAUCCUAAGGAAAGCAAGAAUACCGCUGACUCUGAGGAAGUGGGGAAGGGAGUCCACUCAGGUGACACAAG
Molecule: non-coding RNA, 745 nt
Organism: Cherax quadricarinatus
Lineage: Eukaryota; Metazoa; Arthropoda; Malacostraca; Decapoda; Parastacidae
Source: RefSeq, a predicted model, not a curated record